UCCUGGCCACGACAUUCACCAUCCUUAUGGGAACUUUACAUAAUCUGUUCAUGGCAGAUUAGUUUACAUGUAUUCUUAAACCAAAAAAAGUGUUUUAGUGCAUUGCCAAAAUCAAAGCAGCUGAACUCUGCUCUGUUAUUUCUAUAUGCCCCCUGACUAAUGAAACACCAGGAUCUUCUCUACUCCUCUGUCUAAUGGGUCAGUGCAGACAGUACAUGUUUAUCCUGUGCCAGCAACUGGAGAUGCAAGACCAAGAAGGGAAGGACUGGCAGCAUGGAGACUUCCUCCAAGCACUUCUGCCUGAAGGGAGACAGGCCUGCAGGAAGCUGAGGUGGGAGAUAAAGAAUUUUAAAAUAACACCAGCCUGACCCUUUUUGAAAGGGGGAAUAUUUCUGAACCCUGAGAGAAAGCUAAGGCCUUGAGUUCAAUGAUGAGAAUGGGAGAGAUAGGAGGAGUCAGCAGAAAGGAAGCAGUGAAUCAGGAGAUGCACCUGAGGGGAACAAGAUUAGCUCCAGGGUGCAUAAAUUUCAUCACACCAGUCAAAUAACUAAUGAUCAAUUGUGGAGGAGGAAGGUGGCAGACACCCUGUUGCACCUGGACAUAAAAAGGCUGUCAAGCUGAUUGCAUCUUUCUUGUGAAAGUGUCUUAGACUCCCUAAACCAGAUCAUGACUUGAUGGUUCUACCUUCUUGCUACAUAGGUCCUCAUUGUUUAAACCUGGCAUUUUGUAAUAGCAGAGGCAGUCUACGAUUAGUCAGCUGGCAGAGAGCAGCUAGCAGAGCAGUAUCAUUCUGGCCACUUACAAAGGUGUAGAAGUUGCCAUCAUUUCAAUGCUAUGCUUGGAGGAUCCUGUUUACUAGAAACAAAGCUCUCUGAUUCCACUCUGUUAAGUGAGAUCAAUGAUUCCCCUUUCAGUGAGGAUCAGAUGUUUCCAAACAGUAUUUUGAAGAUCUAGCACUAAAGAAGUGCUGAUGAUUAUAUUGUUUGGGGGAGGGGACAUUACUACAGUGUACUAUUGGUAUUUUAAUUAGCAGGCUCUUCAUCUAAUUUAUUAGAGGCUGUUUUGUCAUCAAUCAGCACAGUGCCUGGCUUGUGGGGAAUUCCCCCACUCUAAAAAUGAAGCAGGUUUGCCGCCUGUCCCACACAUCCACAAAAAUCCAUUCUGAUCUGAAAGUGUGGUUCUGCUCUGAAAAUGGAAAAUUUUAAUCUCCUUACAUUGCAGAUGUUCUCCUUUGUGUAUUGAUGUCUGAGCUGCUUUCUUUAGUGACUAAAAUCAAGUUUUUUUAAAUGCCACUUUACUGCUGUCAACUCUUCAGAUCCAGCUCAGCUGUGCAAGUGAGCUUGCAGCUGUUCCUUCUCAAUAUUGUUACUACUAAGUACCAGUUAUCAGGCCAGACAGUCAUUCUUGAACAAACCCAGUAAAGGCAGUAGCCAGGUUAGGACAGGUAUCAUUAGGAGCUUAAUUGGAUGAGUUUAGGUUGUAUUGGUUUUACUGAGAGCUGAUUUUGGUAGCAAUCCAUGAGAAGGACAGAAGCCAGCUUGACUCUCAGAUCUAAGGAUGAGUUUAUAACUGGCACUUAUGAAAAAAAAAUCACUUGCAAGCUGAGCACAUUUGACAUGGAAGUCAGAGAAACAGCCACACCUUUGGCUUGUACAGUCCCUUUUCAGAGAGAUGAAUGCUGACUGCAGUUUGAGAAAGCCAACAGUAGGUGGUAGCAGAUCACAACUUCCAGAGCCAGUUUCUUAUUGAAAAGUUGACAGGCCCUUGGAGAAGGCCUCUUGGGUGGGGUCUGCGUCAUGGCUUGUCAAGACAAUUGGUGCUUUGAAGCCCCCCUGCUUGGAAAAUGCUGCUGACCCUGUGCAGUGAGUCUUCAUUUGGUGGAGUCUUCAUCUGUUCUUACACUGAAGAGUAAAGAGUUGGGAUAAAGGUAAAGGGAACAUGGUUCUCCGUGAGAGCAAGAGGCUGAAAUGGAAAAGUUAAAAUCAUGGACCAAGAACAGGAUAGGGGGCUAUUUUUAUUCCUGGUCACUGCUCCAUCUAUCUCUCCAUUUUUUUCCCUAUGCCGUUUAAUCUCUAACUUGGAGCCCCAGAGCCAGCGCGGUGUUACAACAGUUUUGUCAUGUUGGCUGUCACAGCGUUGACAGCCCCGUGACAGGUGGCAGAUGUGCCGAUGAUGGAUGUUUUCUCCCCUGUGCAAGGACGAUGGGAUAAAAGUGCAAACAAACCGGGUAAUAGAUGAGAAAAGCAGAGCCAUGUUGAUAAGGCCCGGUCCACGCUCUAUGAUGUAUGGGAAAGCAAGCUGUGGGCAAUUUGUUUCAGAGAAAUGAGAGACUCUCUUUUUAGAGAGAGGGAUGCAAUGAAAUGACAAAAAGGAAAAGAAAAUA
This is a long non-coding RNA of Mauremys reevesii (Reeves's turtle), 2383 nucleotides long. RefSeq lists it as uncharacterized. The record is from RefSeq and is a predicted model, not a curated record. Lineage: Eukaryota; Metazoa; Chordata; Testudines; Geoemydidae. The transcript is spliced from 4 exons.